Molecule: ribosomal RNA, 2511 nt
Filed under: Triticum aestivum (bread wheat)
Lineage: Eukaryota; Viridiplantae; Streptophyta; Magnoliopsida; Poales; Poaceae
Description: partial small subunit ribosomal RNA
Source: RNAcentral
AUGGAAGGAUUGAAACGUGCAAUCAGGUUGGCUGUCGGCAUUCAGCAACCAGCCGAUUUGGACACAGCUUAUCACUUAGCUAUUUUGCACGAAGAGUUGGGCGCAAGUUCAGUCAGCCCUUCCCUUGCUAGCAUCGGUCGUAGAGCUUCAGCAUUACCUUUACCAUCCCCACCUCAGGUCUUAUCUACCAACACAGUCUCUGCUCGUUUGACUGAUGAUAAGAAAACAACUGAAACAUUCAGAAGAGCUGCUACGGAUGAUAGGUGGAGUGCCUUGCAUGCUUACAUGAGAGCCAAGGGAUUAUGUUACGUCUGUGGUGAGCGAUGGAGCAAGGACCAUGUAUGUAAACAAGAGGUACAACUUCAUGUGGUACAGGAGAUGUGGGAUUAUGUGCAUCAUCUCCCAGCUGAUUUUGCAGACUAUCCUGAGACUGAUAUUGCUUCUGAAGCAAAUGCCAUGUUCCUGUCUGCAGCUGCACUAGGUGACAUUCCUGAAGCUCCAGUUAUGACAAUGAAAAUGAAGAUUCAAUUACAAGGCAGAACUUUAAUGUUUUUGGUGGAUUCUGGCAGUAUUAACACUUUUCUGAACUGUACUGUGGCUGAGUUACUAUCUGGAGUAUCUAACAUGCCUGUUUCUAUGGUCAGGGUCGCAAAUGGUAAACUGAUUCCAUGCUCUCAGCAGAUUUUACAGGGUAAAUGGUCCUGUGGUGGCCACAAAUUUGUUAGUAAUUUCAGGAUUUUUCCACUGGGCUCAUAUGAUGGAAUUUUUGGCAUUGACUGGUUAGCUACCCAUAGCCCUAUGCAGGUGGAUUGGUCUGCCCACUGGCUUGCCUUUCAGCAUGAAGGUGCUUUGGCUACAUUGCUAGGAGAAAAUGCUACUCCUCCUGUUUGUACUUUGUUGAGUAUACAUGCAGUAAUUACACUUGCAGAUGGCACACCAUCUAAUGUCCCUCCUGAGAUUCAAGCUCUGUUGGAAAAGUUUGCCUUAGUCUUUGUAGCUCCAACUGGCUUACCUCCUCGAAGGCAGUAUGAUCACACUAUUCCCUUGGUCUCACAUGUUGCUCGGGUAUCCUUGAGGCCAUAUAGAAUUGCUCCUGCAUUGAAAAAUGAAAUGGAAAGACAGACACAAGAGAUGUUGGACAAUGGAAUUAUCAGACACAGCAGCAGUCCUUUCUCAUCACCAAUGUUAAUGGUGCAAAAGAAGCACACCACUUGGAGACCAGUGAUUGACUAUAGACAUUUGAAUGCUAUCACGGCUAAGAGCAAGUACCCUAUACCAGUUAUAGAUGAACUUUUGGAUGAGUUAGAAGGAUCUCACUGGUUUUCUAAGCUAGACCUUAGAGCUGGCUACCACCAGAUCAUAAUGGCACCAAGAGAAGAGUAUAAGACUGCCUUCCAAACACACAUGGGUCAUUAUGAAUUCCUGGUUAUGUCUUAUGACCUCACUGGAGCUCCAAAUACCUUCCAGUUUGCUAUGAACAGUGACUUAAAACCAGUUCUUCAAUGUCAUAAAGGAAAGAAAUUUGUCAUUGUCUUCUCUGAUGAUAUUCUGGUUUUUAGUGUUACAUGUGCUCAACAUUUGCAACAUCUGGAAGAGGUAUUGCAACUUCUCAAACAACAACAGUGGCAAGUCAAGUUGUCUAAAUGUGCAUUUUCCCAGUGGCAAAUUGGUUACUUGGGGCAUGUUAUCAGUGGGCAAGGAGUUGCUACAGAUCCUUCUAAAAUUGAGACCAUUCAGAACUGGCCUGCCCCUAUUUCUGCCAAGGAAGUCAGAGGAUUUCUUGGGUUGGCCGGAUAUUACCGAAAGUUAAUCAGACUCUUUGGAGUGAUCAGCAGGCCUCUUACCAAUCUUCUUAAAAAGGGCAUGCCUUUUCAUUGGACAGAUAUUGAACAACAAUCCUUUGUAGCACUCAAGCAGGCCCUUGUGUCUGCACCUGUCCUAGCUCUUUCAGAUUUUUCUAAGAAGUUUGUCAUUGAAACAGAUGUGUGUGAUGUGGGAAUUGGAGCAAUUCUCAUGCAAGAUGGACAUCCACUAGCCUAUGUGAGCAAGGCUUUGGGCCCCAGAAACCAAGCCUUGUCUGUUUAUGAGAAGGGGUAUUUGGCCAUUUUGCUGGCUGUUGACUACUGGUGUCAGUAUCUACAACUGUCUGAAUUUAUUAUCAAAAUAGACCAGUGUAGUUUGUCUAUUCUAAGUGAACAAAGACUUCACACUGUAUGGCAGCAAAAAGCACUUACCAAGCUUUUGGGGCUCAGUUACACUAUCAGUUACAAGAAAGGUAAUGAUAAUGGUGCUGUUGAUUCCUUAUUACGAAGGCCACACACUGCUUCAGAAGCCCUGCCUGAAAUCCUAGUUGUAUCUUCAGCUCAACCACUUUGGCUUGAGGAGAUUUUACACAGUUACUCGGACGACCCCUUUUGCAUUGGGUUGUUGCAACGCUUGGCCACUGACUCUGAUGCUGACAAGAAUUUUUUGUUAAAAGAUGGGUUGCUUCGUCUGGAUAACUGUAUCUAG